RNAcentral lists this ribosomal RNA (403 nucleotides) under uncultured bacterium. RNAcentral describes it as "bacterial SSU rRNA". It matches the Rfam family "Bacterial small subunit ribosomal RNA", at positions 360 to 773 of the family's 1533-position model. The record is from RNAcentral.
AAUAUUGCACAAUGGGCGGAAGCCUGAUGCAGCGACGCCGCGUGAGGGAUGACGGCCUUCGGGUUGUAAACCUCUUUCAGCAUCGACGAAGCCGUAAGGUGACGGUAGGUGCAGAAGAAGCGCCGGCUAACUACGUGCCAGCAGCCGCGGUAAUACGUAGGGCGCGAGCGUUGUCCGGAAUUAUUGGGCGUAAAGAGCUCGUAGGCGGCCUGUUGCGUCCGCUGUGAAAUCCCAGGGCUUAACCCUGGGCGUGCAGUGGAUACGGGCAGGCUGGAGGCAGGCAGGGGAGAACGGAAUUCCCGGUGUAGCGGUGAAAUGCGCAGAUAUCGGGAGGAACACCGGUGGCGAAGGCGGUUCUCUGGGCCUGUGCUGACGCUGAGGAGCGAAAGCGUGGGGAGCGAAC